ACGAGGCACUACGGUGCUGAAGCAACAAAUGCCCUGCUUCCAGGAAAAGCCUCUAAGCAUCAGGUAACAUCAAAUCGUACCCCAAACCGACACAGGUGGUCAGGUAGAGAAUACCAAGGCGCUUGAGAGAACUCGGGUGAAGGAACUAGGCAAAAUGGUGCCGUAACUUCGGGAGAAGGCACGCUGACAUGUAGGUGAAGUGAUUUACUCAUGGAGCUGAAGUCAGUCGAAGAUACCAGCUGGCUGCAACUGUUUAUUAAAAACACAGCACUGUGCAAACACGAAAGUGGACGUAUACGGUGUGACGCCUGCCCGGUGCCGGAAGGUUAAUUGAUGGGGUCAGCGCAAGCGAAGCUCCUGAUCGAAGCCCCGGUAAACGGCGGCCGUAACUAUAACGGUCCUAAGGUAGCGAAAUUCCUUGUCGGGUAAGUUCCGACCUGCACGAAUGGCGUAAUGAUGGCCAGGCUGUCUCCACCCGAGACUCAGUGAAAUUGAACUCGCUGUGAAGAUGCAGUGUACCCGCGGCAAGACGGAAAGACCCCGUGAACCUUUACUAUAGCUUGACACUGAACAUUGAGCCUUGAUGUGUAGGAUAGGUGGGAGGCUUUGAAGUGUGGACGCCAGUCUGCAUGGAGCCGACCUUGAAAUACCACCCUUUAAUGUUUGAUGUUCUAACGUGGACCCGUGAUCCGGGUUGCGGACAGUGUCUGGUGGGUAGUUUGACUGGGGCGGUCUCCUCCUAAAGAGUAACGGAGGAGCACGAAGGUUGGCUAAUCCUGGUCGGACAUCAGGAGGUUAGUGCAAUGGCAUAAGCCAGCUUGACUGCGAGCGUGACGGCGCGAGCAGGUGCGAAAGCAGGUCAUAGUGAUCCGGUGGUUCUGAAUGGAAGGGCCAUCGCUCAACGGAUAAAAGGUACUCCGGGGAUAACAGGCUGAUACCGCCCAAGAGUUCAUAUCGACGGCGGUGUUUGGCACCUCGAUGUCGGCUCAUCACAUCCUGGGGCUGAAGUAGGUCCCAAGGGUAUGGCUGUUCGCCAUUUAAAGUGGUACGCGAGCUGGGUUUAGAACGUCGUGAGACAGUUCGGUCCCUAUCUGCCGUGGGCGCUGGAGAACUGAGGGGGGCUGCUCCUAGUACGAGAGGACCGGAGUGGACGCAUCACUGGUGUUCGGGUUGUCAUGCCAAUGGCACUGCCCGGUAGCUAAAUGCGGAAGAGAUAAGUGCUGAAAGCAUCUAAGCACGAAACUUGCCCCGAGAUGAGUUCUCCCUGAGACUUAGAGUCUCCUGAAGGAACGUUGAAGACGACGACGUUGAUAGGCCGGGUGUGUAAGCGCAGCGAUGCGUUGAGCUAACCGGUACUAAUGAACCGUGAGGCUUAACC
Molecule: ribosomal RNA, 1378 nt
Filed under: Salmonella enterica
Lineage: Bacteria; Pseudomonadati; Pseudomonadota; Gammaproteobacteria; Enterobacterales; Enterobacteriaceae
Description: bacterial LSU rRNA
Rfam family: Bacterial large subunit ribosomal RNA
Source: RNAcentral